This is a long non-coding RNA of Perca fluviatilis (European perch), 1003 nucleotides long. RefSeq lists it as uncharacterized. The record is from RefSeq and is a predicted model, not a curated record. NCBI's taxonomy places the organism in Eukaryota, Metazoa, Chordata, Actinopteri, Perciformes, Percidae. The transcript has 4 exons.
GACACUGUCAAGGAAGUAACAGCUUUCCAGGAAGUGUUACUGUCUUGGGGUCUUCCAACUCAUUUCUAACAAAAAAGGUCUCACUUUGGGACUGUCUAUUUACAUCACAGCAGGUGGAGUUUGCUCAGUUGUCCUCACCAAAGACCUAAAACAUGUAACAGCAAGGGGCCAGAGUUAUGGACCAGGAGCCAAUGGACGGCAGGACAAAGACCGAGGGUGCCACCCACAACUGAAACUCUGAGGAAGACCAUGAGAUGCCGCUGAAAUAGCAAAGGAAACUUGAGUCACAUCUCCGUCCUCCUCUAUUUUAUCCAGAACGAGGAAUUGGAAGUGUGUGGAGGAGGAUUUCCAGAACAUCACAUCUUCCCUUGAGGCAGUGAAGCGCGAUGCUUGCAUAUGAAAUGCAUUCGGUCAUCCCCCUGGCAACGGAAGGAAAAGGUGCAUUGAGUGAAACGAGAGCAGAUUGCUUCUAUUCUUUAUUUAGAGAGUUAUUCUAGACACUGAGUCACAGAUGCCCUGCCAUCAUAAAAAUCCUUCCUGCUCGAUUAAGGCUGUUGGAGGAAAAUGUUGAAGGCUCAGGUCUCUGUGGGGAAGCAUGAAAUGCUAUCAUGGUUUUUUUAUUUGUCUCAAACAUGUUUUUUUUUCAUUUGUAAAUAUGUCACAGAUUUUGGCUACUGACAUUAUAUUCCUCCUGAGACAGUUGGAUAGCAGGAUACAGACAAAGUUGACGCCGUAACAUAAAUAGUGUGAAUUUUAACCAUGCAAGGGGUGAGCACAGAGCUACUAGAAGUGUGUGUGAUGUUCAAUGCAUCUGUUAACAGGCAGGCUCCUUUAUGAAAUGUGCUCUCGUUCACACUGUUUAGCUAUGGGGCUUGGCCAUAAACCUAAAUGUACUUGUAUUAAUGUGUUUCAGAUGUGUGUGGGGUGUAAUGUGCUCCAUAUUGUCGGUCUCAGUUCCUUCAUGUAGCUUAAAUUGUCGUCCGUGUACUAGAGCCCCAAACCA